Molecule: long non-coding RNA, 5476 nt
Filed under: Mytilus galloprovincialis (Mediterranean mussel)
Lineage: Eukaryota; Metazoa; Mollusca; Bivalvia; Mytilida; Mytilidae
Source: RNAcentral
AGCUAAUUGUUUGCAAAACUCUUUGAAUAGUAUUGUGUCCACAUGCUAAAUACUGUUUUCUCCCUUUCAGCAAUAUAACAAGGAAUGGACAGAGGAGUUGACUAUGGAUAAUGACUGAUACUGGUAAUACUGGAAUGAAUUAACCUACAUGCAGUGUCCAAUGACUCCAUGCCUGACAGUCCAUUUUUACAUGUACAUAAAAUGUAUGUUGACAGCCAAUGGUAAGUAUUAAUCUUCAUAAAUACAUGUAUAUACAAUGAUUGUAUGUGCAUCUCUGAGACUUACAUUUCACUGUUGUGUGGCUUCAUUACUGACCAGAGACUGAUAAGAAUUAGAUUAUCCUUUAUUUUAUCUUCAAAUAUUAUGUACUAGUAACUACAUAUAUGUACUCAAUGACUUGCAUUCAUUUAACUUGUAAUAAUUAUGAUGCAGCAUCCAACAAAAAGUAUGUAUUUUUUAGCUCACCUGGCCCAAAGAGCCAAAUGAGCUUUUCUCAUCACUUGGCGUCCGUCGUCUGUAAACUUUUACAGAAAUCUUCUCCUCUGAAACUACUGGGCCAAAUUUCACCAAACUUGGCCACAAUUAUCAUUCGGGUAUCUAGUUUAAAAAAUGUGUCCAAUGACCCAGCCAACCAACUAAGAUGGCCGCCAUGGCUAAAAAUAGAACAUAGGGGUAAAAUGUAGAUUUUGGCUUAUAUCUCUGAAUCCGAAGCCUUUAGAGCAAAUCUGACAUGAGGUAAAUGUGUUUAUAAGGUCAAGAUCUAUCUGCCCUGAAAUUUUCAGAUGAAUCGGACAACUGGUUGUUUGAUUGCUUCCCCUAAUUGGUAAUUUUGAGGAAAUUUUGCCGUUUUUAUACGACAGCAAAAAUUGAAAAUUUUUUGGGUGUAAUGUAUAUUAGUAUCACAAUGGCGUCGUCUUCUUUGUCAUCGUCCGAAGACAUUUGGUUUUUGCACUCUAACUUUAGUAAAAGUUAAUAGAAAUCUAUGAAAUUUAAACACAAGGUUUAUGACCAUAAAAGGAAGUUUUGGAUUGAUUUGGGUGUUUUGGUCCCAACAGUUUACGAAUUAGGGGCCAAAAAGGGCCAAAAUAAGCAUUUUUCUUAGAUUUCGCUCAAUAACUUUAGUAUAAGAAAACAGAAAUCUAUGAAAUUUUAACAUAAGGACUAUAUGACCACAAAAGAAAGGUUGGAAUUGAUUUUGGGAGUUUUGGUCCCAACGAAUUAGGAUUUCCAGUAAUACAUAUUUUUGGUACAGUCUCAGAAAUAGUACCUAUCAGUCUAUGCAAAAGUAGAGGUGUACAUUUUUUUGUAUAUGAAUAGAAUUUAAUUGUUGCAGAUUAAACAUUUUUAGAAAUUUAAUUUUAAAAAUAAGGAGAUGUGGUAGGAUUACCAAUAAGAAAACCAUCAUGGUCAUCCACAUUCAAAAUGAAGGGGAAAUAACCACUUUUAGGCCACUUUUAUUCUGACCUUCAACAAUGAACAGAAAAAUACUGCUUAGUCAGCUGUUUAUGAUCCUGACAACAGUUCAAUCUAUAAAACUAGUAAUAGUCAUUUUGCUAGUGAUGUUCACAGUGACACUUAUUGGUUAUAAAAAAAAUCAAUUGUUUUCUCUGUUGCCACUAGCUGUUGCAGUCUGUGCCAACCUGUUUUAGUGUCUGUCUGACUGAAAGAGAAAUUUGAUUCUUUUUCUCUUGUUAUUACAAAUGUAUGUCAACCGAAAAAUCAAAAAAUUUCUAUCUGACCGAAUUAUCUGAUUCACUGCUUUUGGCGAAUAUUUUUUACAAUAGUUGCCUGUGUGAAUUUGAUUUACAUUGUACAUAUUGUAUAUCUAAAUGAAUUUUCAUUUGUAUUGCCUUUUUUUUUUAUUUGGAAAACAUUAAUCAGGUUCAGGGCUUAUAUUUAUAAUAAUUAAUGGAAUUUAAAUUUUCAGAAUUGCACAUUUGUUGCUCCCAAGAUGUACAUGUAAGAGGAUUUGAAGUUAUACAAUGAAAUGAAUGAAUUGAUUAGAAAUACAUGUAGAUGAGACCCUAUAGCUACAGAACAUGUAACUGGUAUGUAUUGGUUAUGUGGUAUUUGUAGUCAAAAUGGUAAUUUUUUGGUAUGACAAAAAUGCUGAAAUCUGAAAAUUUAAAAAGGAGUCUUGAAACACAAACUGACAAAAUAAAAAAAAACAUUUUCAAUCAACAGAUCUGAUCAAGGGAAAAAAUAAUCUGCUUAUAUUAUAUAUAUGGAAUAGGCAUGUAGUUACAUUUAUCAUAUAUAUAUGUUUAGUAGUAAAUACAGUAGUUUUUGCAUAUUUGAUAAAUAGUCUGCUGUUUAAUCAAUAUUGCAUACCCUUUAUCACACCCCUAAUUUUUAGCUCACCUGGCCCGAAGGCAAGUGCUUUUUCACCACUUGGCGUCCGUCGUCGUCGUCGUUAACAAUACAUUUUAACUUCUUCUGAGAAAUGGAAUGAAACCAAACAUGCAUGAAUGUUCCUUAUGAGGUUAACCAAGUGUUGUUACUUUGUUGCCGAAUCAUCCAAAUGGCUGACUUAGUUAACAUAGGACUAUGGGAAAUGCAUACAAAUGACUUCUUUUAGAGAACCCAUGGAAUAACCAAACAUAGCAUGAAUGUUCCUUAUGGUGUGACCAGUUUGUUACUUUGAGGAUCCAUUUGAGAGGGGACUUAGUUUACAUAGGACCCUAUGGGAAAUGCAUACAAAUGACUUCUUCUAGAGACCACUAAAUGGAUGAAACCAAAAUAGCAUGAAUGUUCCUUAAUGACAGUGUGUUAUAGCCGAUCCAUCAUCCAAGAUGCCAGCGUGGGACUUGUUUAACAUAGGACUAUAUGCAUACAAAUAUAGAGACUACUGAAUGGAUGAAAUCAAACAUGCAUGAAGUUCCUAAUGUGACCAAGUGUUGUUACUUUGUUAGGAUCCAUAUCCAAGAUGGCCGCCAGAGGGGGACUUAGUUUACAUAUUGGGAAAUGUACAAAUGACUUCACCACUGAAUGGAAUAAAACCAAAAUAGUGAAUGUUUUAUGUGCUGACCAAGUGUUGUUACUUUGUGGAGCCAUCAUCCAAAUGGCGCCAGCGGGGACUUAGUUUAACAUGCUAUGGGAAAUGCAUACACAUGACUUCUUUUAGAGAAACUGAAUAUGAAACCAAAAUGCAUGAUGUUCUUAUGAGGUGCUGAAAGUGUUGUACUUUGUUGCUGAUUCAAAGAUGGCUGCCAGGACUUAGUUUAACAUAGGACCCUAUGGGAAAUGCAUACAAAACUUCUUUUAAGAACCACUGAAAAUAAAACCAAAAUAGCAUGAAAUGGGGUGCUGACACUUUGUAGCCGAUCCAUCAUCAGAUGGCCGCCAUGGACUUAGUUUAAAUAGGACCCAUGGGAAAUGCAUGACUUCUUUUAGAGAACCACUGAAUGGAAUGAAAUCAAACAUGCAUGAAUGUUCCUAAUCACCAAGUGUUGUUAUAGCCGAUCCAUUAUCCAAUCCAGCGGGGGACUUAGUUACAUAGGACCCUAUGGGAAUGUACAAAUGACUUCUUCUAGAGAACACUGAAUGGAAUAAAACCACAUUGCAUAUGUCCUUAUCAGUGUUGUUACUUUGUAGCCGAUCCAUAUAGUGGCCGCCAGCAGACUUAGUUUAACAUAGGAUCCUAUGGGAAAGCAUACAAAUGACUUUUUUUAGAGAACCAUAUGGAAUUCAUGCAUGAAAUGAGUCAAGUGCUGUUACUUUUAGCCGACGUCAUCCAAGAUCAGUGGGGCUUUUGAAUGAAAUUAAAGAUGUUCCUUUCCUUAUAAAUGAGGUUGUGUUGUACUUUUAGCCAAUUUUAUAUUUUUUUUAUAUGAUUUCAAAAACCCAAGUAGAAUCAGGUGAGCGAUACAGGCUCUUGCGAGCCUCUAGUUUUUUUUUUUUUUUUACAUAAAGUCAGUUUUUAUUUAUGUAAGCUCAAGAAAUAAUUUUCCUUAAAAAUAGGUCCAAAAUAACGGUCAUUCGGGCUUGACGCAAUUUAUUGAAUGACGUCAUUGUGUGGGAUGAUUGCCAAUGAGACAACUAUCCACAAAAGACCAAAAUGACACAGACAUUAACAACUAUAGGUCACCGUACGGCCUUCAACAAUGAGCAAAGCCUACCGCAUAGUCAGCUAUAAAAGGCCCCAAUAAGACAAUGUAAAACAAUUCAAACGAGAAAACUAACAGCCUUAUUUAUGUAAAAAAAAAUGAACGAAAAACAAAUAUAUAUGCAACACAUAAACAAACGACUUUUAUUCAGUUUGUGAGUUAAUCGACCUGGUUUACACAUCAAUAACCUCUAGAAAAAAAUGUGUUUAAUCCUAUAAUAUACCCAUGUGUUAUGCUUGUAGUUUUAGGAAAAUAGAAUAUCAAAAUAGCUUGACUAAGAUUAAAAAAAUUACUGAUAUCAUAAAUUAGGUAUUUUUUGUCUUGUCUGCAACUGAUUGAAUGGUCAUAAUGGUGUAGUACAUGUCUGUCUGGGCAUGGUUCAUCUUACCAUGACCUGAUAUUCAUUAUGAUGGUUCAUUGGUCAAUAUUAAGUUUCAUAUUUUAGUCUGUUUGUUGUAUACUGUAUAUAAUCAAUUAAGAUAUUGAUCAGCUAUAUUUGGUGUAAGCAAUGAUUGUAAGAGGCUAAGACAUGUAAGAAGGGGGCUUGAAAAUAAUGAGUUGUGUUAUUAUAGGCACUAAGUAUACUUACAUAUACAGGUUAUGUGUAGUACACCUACAUGAAUAGAGUUUGUUUUCAUUUAAGAAGUUUAUUAUAAAAAUUUAACAUGGUAUGAUUGCCAAUGAGACAACUAUUCACUAGAGUCCAAAUGACUGAAUACUGCUAACUAUAAAUGAUCAUAUGUACAGCUUUCACCAAUAAGAAAACUGAUACAGAAUAGCGAACUAUAAAAUGUCCUGAAACAGGGAUUGUAAAAACCUGUGUUUUAUGAGUAUUGCCCACCCCGGUGGGAAAUACUGGGAAAACCCAGGUUUUACUGUCAAGGUUUUACUGGGUAAAUCACCAUAAAAUCACCAAUUGAUCAUGUCAGAGCUUAAAAUACAAUACAGUUUUCUUCUAAUUAUAAGUUUGGUAAAUUAUUGGAGAUUAAAUUGAUGUUAUCUUUUUUGCUGGACUACAAUACAGAAAUAAACAUUACAUGCUGAUUUUAUUGUAUUACAGGAACUGUAGGAAGUAUUCCAAGAGUAUGAUUGCUAAGUAUGCAUUACAGGAUUUUAUCAUUGGAGCAACAUCCAAGGAUAAUAAGUGGAAAUGUAUGAAGGAAUCCUUGGGUACAAAUAUCAAUUAUAUGCAGAAGUGGACUCUUAAACAUUAUUAACAGACAUGGUAGUCAAGAAAUUUAUACCAUUACCAACUGGAAUUAACUAUUGUGUAUAUUUUUUCAACCAUAAGUACUUUCAGAAUACAAUACAAUUCAAAUUCAGAUUAUUGUGUCAACAUACAAAAAUGUACAAGUUACAUUUAAAAAAAA